Molecule: transfer RNA, 88 nt
Filed under: Verrucomicrobiota bacterium
Lineage: Bacteria; Pseudomonadati; Verrucomicrobiota
Also listed under: 2 other names
Description: tRNA-Ser
Rfam family: tRNA
About the family: Transfer RNA (tRNA) molecules are approximately 80 nucleotides in length. Their secondary structure includes four short double-helical elements and three loops (D, anti-codon, and T loops). Further hydrogen bonds mediate the characteristic L-shaped molecular structure. tRNAs have two regions of fundamental functional importance: the anti-codon, which is responsible for specific mRNA codon recognition, and the 3' end, to which the tRNAs corresponding amino acid is attached (by aminoacyl-tRNA synthetases). tRNAs cope with the degeneracy of the genetic code in two manners: having more than one tRNA (with a specific anti-codon) for a particular amino acid; and 'wobble' base-pairing, i.e. permitting non-standard base-pairing at the 3rd anti-codon position.
Source: RNAcentral
GGAGGAAUGGCUGAGUGGCUUAAGGCGCGCGAUUCGAAAUCGUGUGGGCGGAAACGCCUCGGGGGUUCAAAUCCCUCUUCCUCCGCCA